RNAcentral lists this ribosomal RNA (253 nucleotides) under uncultured bacterium. RNAcentral's name for it is "partial 16S ribosomal RNA". It matches the Rfam family "Bacterial small subunit ribosomal RNA", at positions 524 to 776 of the family's 1533-position model. The record is from RNAcentral.
UACGGAGGGUGCAAGCGUUAUCCGGAUUUACUGGGUUUAAAGGGUGUGUAGGCGGAUCAUUAAGUCAGCGGUGAAAUCUCCGAGCUCAACUCGGAAACUGCCAUUGAUACUAUUAGUCUUGAAUAUUGUUGAGGUGGGCGGAACGGGUCAUGUAGCGGUGAAAUGCAUAGAUAUGACCCGGAACACCGAUUGCGAAGGCAGCCCACUAAGCAAUGAUUGACGCUGAGGCACGAAAGCGUGGGGAUCAAACAGG